Molecule: ribosomal RNA, 465 nt
Filed under: uncultured bacterium
Lineage: Bacteria
Description: bacterial SSU rRNA
Rfam family: Bacterial small subunit ribosomal RNA
Source: RNAcentral
GACGAACGCUGGCGGCGUGCUUAACACAUGCAAGUCGAGCGGUAAGGCUCCUUCGGGAGUACACGAGCGGCGAACGGGUGAGUAACACGUGAGCAAUCUACCCUUCACAUCGGGAUAACUCCGGGAAACCGGAGCUAAUACCGGAUACGACCACUUCAGGCAUCUGACGGUGGUGGAAAGCCCUGGCGGUGGAGGAUGAGCUCGCGGCCUAUCAGCUUGUUGGUGGGGUAACGGCCCACCAAGGCAACGACGGGUAGCCGGCCUGAGAGGGUGACCGGCCACACUGGGACUGAGACACGGCCCAGACUCCUACGGGAGGCGGCAGUGGGGAAUUUUGGACAAUGGGGCGAACCCUGAUCCAGCGACGCCGCGUGAAGGAUGAAGGUCUUCGGAUUGUAAACUUCUUUUGGAGGGGAUGAAUGUCUGCGUGAAUAACGCAGCGUGACAGUACUCUUCGAAUAAGCC